AUGUCGACUUGCAUGCUGAUGUGGAGAUUAGGUUUGCGCUUGCCCGUAGCCUUGCAGCCCGGGCGACACGUUCCUGUGAUGUGCUGCUGGCACCGCCCAUCACGCAUCGUUUCUGAGGUUGGAACCGAGGUGGGUACAUUCGGGAUGAUCAUGGCUGCCGUGUCUACUUGGCAUGAAUAUGUUCCUGCCGGCAUUGCUACUGCUGAGGCGUAUGCUUGUCGUGACGGUAUAUUCCGCUGGGCCGCGGAGGACCUUUUUUUCGACAAAGGAGCCGUGGAGGAACUAUCAAGAAUAUCCUUGUUAAAACUGAUCGAGAGAGGAGCAGUGGAUUAUUUUGUAAUAUAA
Molecule: ribosomal RNA, 345 nt
Filed under: Triticum aestivum (bread wheat)
Lineage: Eukaryota; Viridiplantae; Streptophyta; Magnoliopsida; Poales; Poaceae
Description: partial small subunit ribosomal RNA
Source: RNAcentral